GAUGAACGCUGGCGGCGUGCCUAAUACAUGCAAGUCGAACGAACAGACGAGGAUCUUGCUCCUCUGACGUUAGCGGCGGACGGGUGAGUAACACGUGGAUAACCUACCUAUAAGACUGGGAUCACUUCGGGAAACCGGAGCUAAUACCGGAUAAUCUAUUGAACCACAUGGUUCAAUAGUGAAAGACGGUUUUGCUGUCACUUCUAGAUGGAUACGAGCCGCAUUGGCUAGUUGGUAAGGUAACGGCUUACCAAGGCAACGAUGCGUGGCCGACGUGACGGGGGGAUCGGCCACACGAGAACGUAGACGCGGUCCUGACUCCUACGGGAGGCAGCAGUAGGGAAUCUGCCGCAAUAGGCGAAAGCUUGACGGAGCAAGGGCGCGUGAGUGAUGAAGGUCUUCGGAGCGUAAUACUCUGUUAUUAGGGAAGAACAAAUGUGGAAGGAACUAAGCACUUCUUGACGGUACCUAAUCAGAAAGCCACGGCUAACUACGUG
This 497-nucleotide ribosomal RNA is filed under the name uncultured bacterium. Its description in RNAcentral is "partial 16S ribosomal RNA". It matches the Rfam family "Bacterial small subunit ribosomal RNA", at positions 28 to 507 of the family's 1533-position model. The record is from RNAcentral.